AGAUGUUAGGAUCUUCCUCUAGCUGCUCAAGGUAAGGGUCACAAAGACUCAAGCAAGAGGUAGAGAAGAUCAAUCAAUAGGAUGCACGAAGAAGAAGAAGGGACUGCCUCUCUCUCGGGUUCUAUCAAAACGGGAC
Long non-coding RNA from Olea europaea var. sylvestris, 136 nucleotides. RefSeq lists it as uncharacterized. The record is from RefSeq and is a predicted model, not a curated record. The transcript has 2 exons. Lineage: Eukaryota; Viridiplantae; Streptophyta; Magnoliopsida; Lamiales; Oleaceae.